Molecule: long non-coding RNA, 285 nt
Organism: Drosophila navojoa
Lineage: Eukaryota; Metazoa; Arthropoda; Insecta; Diptera; Drosophilidae
Source: RefSeq, a predicted model, not a curated record
UUUCAUUAUAUAAGAAAAGUUUUUUCCAUUUCUUCCUAUAUAUUGUAGCGCAUAGCUAUCCCCAGUGUAGCCCCAAUCUAAGGCAUUAUUCAUGCUGUCGUUUUCGAGUGCUGCCAUCGUCGUCGUCGUCGGUCGGUCGGACGGUCGCUUCGACUCACCUCUCCACUCUUCUCUUCGUUAUAUUUCGUUUCGUCUCUCUUCGCUAUCGUCUGCUGGCGUUGUUUCCAGCGCGCGUGUAGCUGGGCAUAUGUGUAUAAGUAAAUGUGUGUGUCUGUAUGUGUUUGU